Molecule: ribosomal RNA, 254 nt
Filed under: Salmonella enterica
Lineage: Bacteria; Pseudomonadati; Pseudomonadota; Gammaproteobacteria; Enterobacterales; Enterobacteriaceae
Also listed under: 5 other names
Description: partial 16S ribosomal RNA
Rfam family: Bacterial small subunit ribosomal RNA
Source: RNAcentral
AAAUUGAAGAGUUUGAUCAUGGCUCAGAUUGAACGCUGGCGGCAGGCCUAACACAUGCAAGUCGAACGGUAACAGGAAGCAGCUUGCUGCUUUGCUGACGAGUGGCGGACGGGUGAGUAAUGUCUGGGAAACUGCCUGAUGGAGGGGGAUAACUACUGGAAACGGUGGCUAAUACCGCAUAACGUCGCAAGACCAAAGAGGGGGACCUUCGGGCCUCUUGCCAUCAGAUGUGCCCAGAUGGGAUUAGCUUGUUG